GCCCUUCAUGUGGGGCUGAAGUCUUAAGACCUGGAGAGCAGCCCCAAGGGUGGAGAAGCGGCUGCUGAAGGGAUCAGCAUGCGCUGGCACAGGAAGUCUGUUUUCCAUGUGUCUGGAACCCAGCCGAAGCUUCCUGGGGUAAUUUUAACCAGUAUCCACUCUAGAACAAUACCAAAAAAGCAAGACUGUGUUGGGCUGGAGGAAAGGCAGUAAUCAACUCCAUGUUCCACGUGAGGAAACUGAAGAUCAUGGAAGGCAAGUCGAGAGCCCCAAGGUUAUCCAGCUUCAAGGUCACCAGUCACCCAGCUUCCUUCUUUCGUGCAGCCAGAUGCCCAUCCCAGUACUAGGUUGCGCUGUGGGGAUUGUGGAGUAGCCCUCUACCACCUAGGGCCCUCAUGUGUUUCCUUUAUUUGAGACAGGGUCUCACUCUGUCACCCAGGGUGGAAGUGGCCCAGUCACAGCUUACUGCAGCAUCAGCCUCCCCAGGCUCAAGUGAUUAAGGCCUCCCUCUGCCUGCCCCACCCCCACUGUGUUUAUAUUGUUGGGAAACUUAAUCCACGGAAAUAAAGUGUGGAUUAUUUU
Molecule: long non-coding RNA, 582 nt
Filed under: Homo sapiens (human)
Lineage: Eukaryota; Metazoa; Chordata; Mammalia; Primates; Hominidae
Description: HSALNT0330162
Source: RNAcentral